GAUGAACGCUGGCGGCGUGCCUAAUACAUGCAAGUCGAGCGAACGGACGAGAAGCUUGCUUCUCUGAUGUUAGCGGCGGACGGGUGAGUAACACGUGGAUAACCUACCUAUAAGACUGGGAUAACUUCGGGAAACCGGAGCUAAUACCGGAUAAUAUUUUGAACCGCAUGGUUCAAAAGUGAAAGACGGUCUUGCUGUCACUUAUAGAUGGAUCCGCGCUGCAUUAGCUAGUUGGUAAGGUAACGGCUUACCAAGGCAACGAUGCAUAGCCGACCUGAGAGGGUGAUCGGCCACACUGGAACUGAGACACGGUCCAGACUCCUACGGGAGGCAGCAGUAGGGAAUCUUCCGCAAUGGGCGAAAGCCUGACGGAGCAACGCCGCGUGAGUGAUGAAGGUCUUCGGAUCGUAAAACUCUGUUAUUAGGGAAGAACAUAUGUGUAAGUAACUGUGCACAUCUUGACGGUACCUAAUCAGAAAGCCACGGCUAACUACGUGCCAGCAGCCGCGGUAAUACGUAGGUGGCAAGCGUUAUCCGGAAUUAUUGGGCGUAAAGCGCACGUAGGCGGUUUUUUAAGUCUGAUGUGAAAGCCCACGGCUCAACCGUGGAGGGUCAUUGGAAACUGGAAAACUUGAGUGCAGAAGAGGAAAGUGGAAUUCCAUGUGUAGCGGUGAAAUGCGCAGAGAUAUGGAGGAACACCAGUGGCGAAGGCGACUUUCUGGUCUGUAACUGACGCUGAUGUGCGAAAGCGUGGGGAUCAAACAGGAUUAGAUACCCUGGUAGUCCACGCCGUAAACGAUGAGUGCUAAGUGUUAGGGGGUUUCCGCCCCUUAGUGCUGCAGCUAACGCAUUAAGCACUCCGCCUGGGGAGUACGACCGCAAGGUUGAAACUCAAAGGAAUUGACGGGGACCCGCACAAGCGGUGGAGCAUGUGGUUUAAUUCGAAGCAACGCGAAGAACCUUACCAAAUCUUGACAUCCUUUGACAACUCUAGAGAUAGAGCUUUCCCCUUCGGGGGACAAAGUGACAGGUGGUGCAUGGUUGUCGUCAGCUCGUGUCGUGAGAUGUUGGGUUAAGUCCCGCAACGAGCGCAACCCUUAAGCUUAGUUGCCAUCAUUAAGUUGGGCACUCUAAGUUGACUGCCGGUGACAAACCGGAGGAAGGUGGGGAUGACGUCAAAUCAUCAUGCCCCUUAUGAUUUGGGCUACACACGUGCUACAAUGGACAAUACAAAGGGCAGCGAAACCGUGAGGUCAAGCAAAUCCCAUAAAGUUGUUCUCAGUUCGGAUUGUAGUCUGCAACUCGACUACAUGAAGCUGGAAUCGCUAGUAAUCGUAGAUCAGCAUGCUACGGUGAAUACGUUCCCGGGUCU
Molecule: ribosomal RNA, 1372 nt
Filed under: uncultured bacterium
Lineage: Bacteria
Description: bacterial SSU rRNA
Rfam family: Bacterial small subunit ribosomal RNA
Source: RNAcentral